This 72-nucleotide transfer RNA is filed under the name Chlorokybus atmophyticus. RNAcentral's name for it is "tRNA-Gly (TCC) (tRNA-Gly-TCC-2-1)". It matches the Rfam family "tRNA". Rfam says of the family: Transfer RNA (tRNA) molecules are approximately 80 nucleotides in length. Their secondary structure includes four short double-helical elements and three loops (D, anti-codon, and T loops). Lineage: Eukaryota; Viridiplantae; Streptophyta; Chlorokybophyceae; Chlorokybales; Chlorokybaceae. The record is from RNAcentral.
GCGGGUAUAGCUCAAUGGUAGAGCGCUGUCCUUCCAAGUCAGAUGUUGCGCGUUCGAAUCGCGUUACCCGCC